Molecule: ribosomal RNA, 244 nt
Filed under: uncultured bacterium
Lineage: Bacteria
Description: partial 16S ribosomal RNA
Rfam family: Bacterial small subunit ribosomal RNA
Source: RNAcentral
UCCACGCAGUAAACGAUGAAUGUUAGUCGUUGGAUAGCAAGUCUAUUCAGUGAUGCAGUUAACACAUUAAACAUUCCGCCUGGGGAGUACGGUCGCAAGAUUAAAACUCAAAGGAAUAGACGGGGACCCGCACAAGUGGUGGAGCAUGUGGUUUAAUUCGAAAAUACGCGAAGAACCUUACCUAGCCUUGACAUUGAUAGAAUCCCGUAGAGAUACAGGAGUGCCCUUCGGGGAGCUUGAAAAC